GCCACCACGCCCGGCUAUUUGCUGGGCUACUGAGAAGUGGACAGACGAAAUUGUGAGGACUGACUCCGGCAGCCGCCCACCCUGGGCAGCCCAGGCAUUGACCAGCCUGGCCUCCAAUUCAUGGUCAGACUCCUGCCUCAGCCUCCUGAGUGCCGAGAAAGACAGCCAGGCAGCCAGCAGAACAGCCUCCAUGCUCCCCAUGCAGUCUCCUGGGGUCUACGCUCUGCUCCCCUCAUCCCAGGCUCCCGCACCUCUCUUCUCAGCCCUCACCAGGUAUCAACACCUCCCCAUGUGGCCAGCUGUGCCCUACCCCACAUUCUAGGUUGGGGUCAAAGGUUAGUGGAGUCCUACUUCUUGAAGGGAUAUCUCCUCACCCUCCUUGGGGUGCCCAGAGCAGAGCUCCCCCAGGAAAGGGGGGGCAAUGCACCAUACUGUCCCCAGUCCAGUCUCAGAAGUACAGGGUGUGGUUGGGGAUCACUGGGAGGAGCCCCGGGCAGAGGCUACCAGGGAAGCUGGGGUCCCCCUUCCCCGUGUGGGGCUGCAGGAGGGGACAAGCAGAGCUGGGCACAGGGCAGCAGGAGCGGCAGUGCCAAUGCAGGUGACGAGAGCAGUGUGAAGACAGGACAUCAGGGGUCUCGAUGCCUUUGGAUGGGAAGCUGAGACGGGAAGCUUCCUGCUGCUGCCAGGGAGGAGCCAUUGCUCAGGUCCAGCUGCCAGGUUUGGCUCAAACUCUGGCGCCCUCUAAACCGCAGUCUCAGGAAAUCCCGGCCACUGUACCCGCAGGUGUCAGCUGAGCCCAUCUGAAAGCCCUCAGGGUGCUCCCAGAGCGCUAUGAAUGCAGGGAACAGGGCCCCAGGUGGGGCGCCUGCAGCAGAUGGUGGGGGUCAGGACAGGCCAGGACUUCGCCCCAGCCCCCGCACGGUGUCCCCGAACCCUGCCAGAGGCCGCCCCGGCUCCGAGUGCGGGGCCGGGACGCUGCUCUCUGUUAAUUAAACAGCGCACCAAAAAAAAAAAAAAAAAAAAAAGUGAGACGCUGAGAGACCGUGAGCCCGGAGCACGCGCCCCGGGCUCUCCAACGGAGAAUAGCUCACUUCCCCCGCCGCACCGAAAAUAGCUGCCAGGAACCAGCCGCGCUCGGCUCCCACAGCGCAGGCUCGGGGCGAGAGCUAGGCCCCGCCUUCUCCUGCCCCUGAAUGAAGAGGGGAAUGGGGUCCCCACGGAGGCCCACGGCGCCCCAGCCCCCGUCCCCGAGGGACCAGAAAGCGAAGGCCCAAAGUGCACGGCAGGAAACCACCGGUUCACCAGCUCACUGUUUUGGGUGUCUGUUUUCAUUCAUUCCUGCAAGUCCCGGGCAGGCAGAGCCUGGGAGCCAUGAAAGGAGAGACAGCCUCUGCCUUAGAGCCCUCAUGCCCAGCGGAAGAUGGGAGUUAAAAGCCAUGUGUGUGCAAAGAGGAGGGUCCCACUCAGGGUCGCGGGGGGGGGGACCCUGAAAGGGUACAUGAAAGGGCUGGACUAUAAGCAGCCUCUGUUCAGCCAGAGGCCCACUUUAGAGGUCACCCACUCACCCUGGCAUCCAGGCCCUAAGACUGUUUUCCAGGUCCACUUAGGAAGCUACCAGGCAGAGGGCUGAUUCGAAGCCUGGGAUGGGUGGGGACCUUUUGUCAAUGUUUUCCCCGAACCUCGAUACCAUCUGCCCAUUUCACAGAUGGGCUAAGGGAGCCUCGGUGGGAAAAGGAAUGGCCAAGGAUCCGGCCUUAAUAAGCACAGGAGCUGUAUUUGAAUCCAGGCCUGGAGGGGCUAUGAGCCUGAGCUGCCCACACCAGCUGGCCAGACAUCCGGCCUCACACUCUCCCUCCUCACACCCUCCCCUCCACUGCAGGAAGAAAGUAGAGGUUCCGGCCGGGAU
Molecule: long non-coding RNA, 1906 nt
Organism: Cavia porcellus (domestic guinea pig)
Lineage: Eukaryota; Metazoa; Chordata; Mammalia; Rodentia; Caviidae
Exons: 4
Source: RefSeq, a predicted model, not a curated record